Molecule: unclassified non-coding RNA, 329 nt
Filed under: soil metagenome
Description: partial contains 5.8S ribosomal RNA, internal transcribed spacer 2, and large subunit ribosomal RNA
Rfam family: 5.8S ribosomal RNA (bases 1-120)
Source: RNAcentral
GAUGAAGAACGUAGCGAAAUGCGAUAAGUAAUGUGAAUUGCAGAAUUCCGUGAAUCAUCGAAUCUUUGAACGCAUAUUGCGCCCCCUGGUAUUCCGGGGGGCAUGCCUGUCCGAGCGUCAUUACAACCCUCAAGCUCAGCUUGGUGUUGGGCCCCGCCGCCCCGGCGGGCCCUAAAGUCAGUGGCGGUGCCGUCCGGCUCCGAGCGUAGUAAUUCUUCUCGCUCUGGAGGUCCGGUCGUGUGCUCGCCAGCAACCCCCAAUUUUUUUCAGGUUGACCUCGGAUCAGGUAGGGAUACCCGCUGAACUUAAGCAUAUCAAUAAGCGGAGGA